AUGGCAGCGCCACCUCUCAGCCUCGCACGCCGCGUCGCCGGCGCCUCCUCCCCUGCCGCCGCGGCGCAUUCCUCCUCCCGUUCCCGCUACUUUCGUCCUCGCCUGCUCCCUUCAAAGCGGUGGAGUGGGGUGGUGAAGAUGGGGGCGGCAGUGGGGGACGGGCAGGGGGGCGAGGAGGAGGAGACGAGGCAGGCCAAGGAGAUGGCCGCUGCCAGGAGGCGGUGGGAGACGCUGAUCAGGGAGCAGAAGAUUAAGACCCUUACACCAAGGGAAGCUGGCUAUACAUUCAAACUCACGGACAAGGUCCUUCUGGAUGUUAGGCCUUCAAAUGAGCGUCAAAAGGCCUGGGUGAAAGGUUCUACCUGGAUUCCAGUAUUCGAUGUGGAUACAUCGUCUGAUUUGAAUGGCCUCAGCAAGAAAGCAUUCAACUUUAUGAUUGGUGGCUGGUGGAGUGGCAGCUCAACAAUGUCAUUCAAUAAGAACUUUGUACAGCAGACCGAGGAGAAGUUCUCAAAAGAUACAGAUAUCAUCCUAGUAUGCCAGAAGGGACUGAGAUCAAUUGCUGCCGCUGAGCAACUUUACAAUGCUGGCUUCGAAAAUUUAUUCUGGGUACAAGGAGGAUUGGAAGCUGCUGAAGAGGAGGACUUUGAGCGGGAAGGUUCCCAAGCUUUCAAGCUUGCUGGUAUUGGUGGGGUUUCUGAAUUUUUUGGCUGGACGGAUCAGCAACGUGCACAGGCUGCAAAGGAAGGAUGGGGAUAUCGGCUGCUCUUCACGGGCCGAUUGGUUGGGGCAAUUGUGCUAGCAGAUGCUCUGUUUGUGGGUGCCCAAAGUAUUGGCCCUCUGCUUCAACAAUUACAGCCUCAUUAA
RNAcentral lists this ribosomal RNA (867 nucleotides) under Triticum aestivum (bread wheat). Its description in RNAcentral is "partial small subunit ribosomal RNA". The record is from RNAcentral. Lineage: Eukaryota; Viridiplantae; Streptophyta; Magnoliopsida; Poales; Poaceae.